GCAUCGAUGAUGAUUUCCAGUCAAACAUUCUUUGGAAAAGCUGAACAAAAUGAGUGAAAACUCAGUACCACCACUCUCAUGGAAACUGAGGUAC
Small nucleolar RNA from Peromyscus maniculatus bairdii (prairie deer mouse), 94 nucleotides. Its record names the gene SNORD116. It matches the Rfam family "Small nucleolar RNA SNORD116". Rfam says of the family: HBII-85 is a member of the C/D class of snoRNAs, which contain the C (UGAUGA) and D (CUGA) box motifs. HBII-85 is encoded in a tandemly repeated array with another C/D snoRNA, HBII-52, in the Prader-Willi syndrome (PWS) region of chromosome 15. NCBI's taxonomy places the organism in Eukaryota, Metazoa, Chordata, Mammalia, Rodentia, Cricetidae. The record is from Ensembl.